UACGUAGGGUGCAAGCGUUGUCCGGAAUUAUUGGGCGUAAAGAGCUCGUAGGCGGCUUGUCGCGUCGGCUGUGAAAACCUGGGGCUCAACCCCGGGCCUGCAGCCGAUACGGGCAAGCUAGAAUUCGGUAGGGGAGACUGGAAUUCCUGGUGUAGCGGUGAAAUGCGCAGAUAUCAGGAGGAACACCGGUGGCGAAGGCGGAUCUCUGGGCCUUACCUGACGCUGAGGCGCGAAAGCUAGGGGAGCGAACAGG
RNAcentral lists this ribosomal RNA (253 nucleotides) under uncultured bacterium. RNAcentral's name for it is "partial 16S ribosomal RNA". It matches the Rfam family "Bacterial small subunit ribosomal RNA", at positions 524 to 776 of the family's 1533-position model. The record is from RNAcentral.